RNAcentral lists this ribosomal RNA (459 nucleotides) under uncultured bacterium. RNAcentral's name for it is "partial 16S ribosomal RNA". It matches the Rfam family "Bacterial small subunit ribosomal RNA", at positions 338 to 795 of the family's 1533-position model. The record is from RNAcentral.
CCUACGGGAGGCAGCAGUGAGGAAUAUUGGUCAAUGGGCGCGAGCCUGAACCAGCCAAGUAGCGUGAAGGAUGACUGCCCUACGGGUUGUAAACUUCUUUUAUAAAGGAAUAAAACGAGGCACGUGUGCCUUUUUGCAUGUACUUUAUGAAUAAGGAUCGGCUAACUCCGUGCCAGCAGCCGCGGUAAUACGGAGGAUGCGAGCGUUAUCCGGAUUUAUUGGGUUUAAAGGGUGCGCAGGCGGAUUUUUAAGUCAGCGGUCAAAUCGUGGGGCUCAACCCCAUCCAGCCGUUGAAACUGGGGAUCGAGAGUGUGCGAGAGGUACGCGGAAUGCGUGGUGUAGCGGUGAAAUGCAUAGAUAUCACGCAGAACCCCGAUUGCGAAGGCAGCAUACCGGUGCACAACUGACGCUCAGGCACGAAAGCGUGGGUAUCGAACAGGAUUAGAUACCCUUGUAGUC